UGGGGAAUUUUCCGCAAUGGGCGCAAGCCUGACGGAGCAAUACCGCGUGAGGGAGGAAGGCUUUUGGGUUGUAGACCUCUUUUCUCAGGGAAGAAGUUCUGACGGUACCUGAGGAAUAAGCCUCGGCUAACUCCGUGCCAGCAGCCGCGGUAAGACGGAGGAGGCAAGCGUUAUCCGGAAUUAUUGGGCGUAAAGCGUCCGUAGGCGGCUAGUCAAGUCUGCUGUCAAAGUUCAGGGCUUAACCCUGAGUCGGCAGUGGAAACUGAGUAGCUAGAGAGCGGCAGGGGUAGAGGGAAUUCCCAGUGUAGCGGUGAAAUGCGUAGAUAUUGGGAAGAACACCAGUGGCGAAGGCGCUCUACUGGGCCGUUACUGACGCUGAGGGACGAAAGCUAGGGGAGCGAAAGGGAUUAGAUACCCCUGUAGUCC
RNAcentral lists this ribosomal RNA (426 nucleotides) under uncultured prokaryote. Its description in RNAcentral is "bacterial SSU rRNA". It matches the Rfam family "Bacterial small subunit ribosomal RNA", at positions 355 to 796 of the family's 1533-position model. The record is from RNAcentral.